Trichonephila clavipes is the source of this 73-nucleotide non-coding RNA. The record is from the annotation of a GenBank genome assembly. Lineage: Eukaryota; Metazoa; Arthropoda; Arachnida; Araneae; Nephilidae.
GUCCCUGCAGCGCAAUGGAUAGCGCGUUGGACUUCUAAUCCAAAGGUCGUGGGCUCGAAUUACGCCCGGGAUG